This 416-nucleotide long non-coding RNA is filed under the name Setaria italica (foxtail millet). RNAcentral describes it as "long non-coding RNA (SITA_LNC001472)". The record is from RNAcentral. Lineage: Eukaryota; Viridiplantae; Streptophyta; Magnoliopsida; Poales; Poaceae.
CUGAAUGGAAGCAGUUGAAAGAAAAGCAAACUUGUAAGAAAAAUUCAAACUGAUCUUGUUAAUUAUGAUACCUAGCAGAAUUAUUUACCAUAACCUCAGUUUUGCUUGGUGCUGAAUCUGCAAAAAAUUUGGAAAUUCAGCCAUUAAUUGUCGAUCAUAAUUUAGUGGAUAUAGAAAAACCAGCGCACAUGAAGCCAUGAACACAGUGACAAACUGCUAAUUUGGGUAGAUCCACCAUUUCUUACAACAAGGCAGCACAGAUUUGUUAAUUGUGUGAUAAUCCUGUGAGAAGUUUGAAUUUUUUCGAACUUACUUUACUGAAUGCUCUCGGCAGUGGACGGAUUAGAUACCCUGCCCAUCAAAUCAAUUCGGCAAAAGAAAAUGGCUCUGAUGGUGAGUGUACUUUUGGUUGUGUU